UUCCGGUUGAUCCCGCCGGACCCGACUGCUAUCAGAGUGGGAUUAAGCCAUGCGAGUCAACGUAGCAAUACGUGGCGCACGGCUCAGUAACACGUAGUCAACAUGCCCAAAGGACGUGGAUAACCUCGGGAAACUGAGUCUAAACCGCGAUGAGUCAAGAUUCCUGGAAUGGUUCCUGACUGAAAUCUAUAUGGCCUUUGGAUUGGACUGCGGCCGAUCAGGCUGUUGGUGAGGUAAUGGCCCACCAAACCUGUAACCGGUACGGGCUCUGAGAGGAGGAGCCCGGAGAUGGGCACUGAGACAAGGGCCCAGGCCCUAUGGGGCGCAGCAGGCGCGAAACCUCUGCAAUAGGCGAGAGCCUGACAGGGUUACUCUGAGUGAUUUUCGUUAAGAAAGUCUUUUGGCACCUCUAAAAAUGGUGCAGAAUAAGGGGUGGGCAAGUCUGGUGUCAGCCGCCGCGGUAAUACCAGCACCCCGAGUGGUCGGGACGAUUAUUGGGCCUAAAGCAUCCGUAGCCGGUUCUGCAAGUCUCCCGUUAAAUCCAACUGCUCAACAGGUGGGCUGCGGAGGAUACUACAGAGCUAGGAGGCAGGAGAGGCAAGCGGUACUCAGUGGGUAGGGGUAAAAUCCGUUGAUCCAUUGAAGACCACCAGUGGCGAAGGCGGCUUGCCAGAAUGCGCUCGACGGUGAGGGAUGAAAGCUGGGGGAGCAAACCGGAUUAGAUACCCGGGUAGUCCCAGCCGUAAACGAUGCAGACUCGGUGAUGGGUUGGCUUCGCGCUAACCCAGUGCCGCAGGGAAGCCGUUAAGUCUGCCGCCUGGGUAGUACGGUCGCAAGACUGAAACUUAAGGGAUUUGGCGGGGGAGCACCACAAGGGGUGAAGCCUGCGGUUCAAUUGGAUUCAACGCCGGG
RNAcentral lists this ribosomal RNA (912 nucleotides) under uncultured archaeon. Its description in RNAcentral is "bacterial SSU rRNA". It matches the Rfam family "Archaeal small subunit ribosomal RNA", at positions 1 to 922 of the family's 1478-position model. The record is from RNAcentral.